Molecule: ribosomal RNA, 468 nt
Filed under: uncultured bacterium
Lineage: Bacteria
Description: partial 16S ribosomal RNA
Rfam family: Bacterial small subunit ribosomal RNA
Source: RNAcentral
GAAGAAAGCUGGCGGCGUGCUUAACACAUGCAAGUCGAACGGAAAGGCCCUGCUUUUGUGGGGUGCUCGAGUGGCGAACGGGUGAGUAACACGUGAGUCACCUGCCCUUGACUUUGGGAUAACUUCAGGAAACUGGGGCUCAUACCGGAUAGGAGCUCCUGCUGCAUGGUGGGGGUUGGAAAGUUUCGGCGGUUGGGGAUGGACUCGCGGCUUAUCAGCUUGUUGGUGGGGUAGUGGCUUACCAAGGCUUUGACGGGUAGCCGGCCUGAGAGGGUGACCGGCCACAUUGGGACUGAGAGACGGCCCAGACUCCUACGGGAGGCAGCAGUGGGGAAUAUUGCACAAUGGGCGGAAGCCUGAUGCAGCAACGCCGCGUGCGGGAUGACGGCCGUCGGGUUGUAAACCGCUUUCGCCUGUGACGAAGCGUGAGUGACGGUAAUGGGUAAAGAAGCACCGGCUAACUACGUG